GGUUGUAGCUCAGUUAGUAGAGUGUUUGCCUAGCAUGUGUGAGGCACUGGGUUCGAUCCUCAGCACCA
This 68-nucleotide transfer RNA is filed under the name Marmota monax (woodchuck). RNAcentral's name for it is "tRNA.Ala". Lineage: Eukaryota; Metazoa; Chordata; Mammalia; Rodentia; Sciuridae. The record is from RNAcentral.